GCAAGCUGUAGCUCAAAAAUAGAGCGUUGGUCUUGUAAACCAAAGGCUGGAUUAAAGUAAUCUCACUUGCU
Molecule: transfer RNA, 71 nt
Filed under: Cerithidea tonkiniana
Lineage: Eukaryota; Metazoa; Mollusca; Gastropoda; Potamididae
Description: tRNA-Thr
Rfam family: tRNA
About the family: Transfer RNA (tRNA) molecules are approximately 80 nucleotides in length. Their secondary structure includes four short double-helical elements and three loops (D, anti-codon, and T loops).
Source: RNAcentral